AAAUUGAAGAGUUUGAUCAUGGCUCAGAUUGAACGCUGGCGGCAGGCCUAACACAUGCAAGUCGAACGGUAACAGGAAGCAGCUUGCUGCUUCGCUGACGAGUGGCGGACGGGUGAGUAAUGUCUGGGAAACUGCCUGAUGGAGGGGGAUAACUACUGGAAACGGUAGCUAA
RNAcentral lists this ribosomal RNA (172 nucleotides) under Escherichia coli. RNAcentral's name for it is "partial 16S ribosomal RNA". It matches the Rfam family "Bacterial small subunit ribosomal RNA", at positions 1 to 166 of the family's 1533-position model. The record is from RNAcentral. Lineage: Bacteria; Pseudomonadati; Pseudomonadota; Gammaproteobacteria; Enterobacterales; Enterobacteriaceae. RNAcentral also lists the same sequence under 9 other names.